ACAGAGGGUGCGAGCGUUAAUCGGAAUUACUGGGCGUAAAGCGCACGUAGGUGGCGACGUAUGUCGGUUGUGAAAGCCCCGGGCUCAACCUGGGAAUUGCAUCCGAAACUGCGUUGCUGGAGUACGGAAGAGGAAGGCGGAAUUCCCGGUGUAGCGGUGAAAUGCGUAGAUAUCGGGAGGAACAUCAGUGGCGAAGGCGGCCUUCUAUCUCGAUUCUGACGCUGAGGCGCGAAAGCUAGGGGAGCAAACGGGA
Molecule: ribosomal RNA, 253 nt
Filed under: uncultured prokaryote
Description: partial 16S ribosomal RNA
Rfam family: Bacterial small subunit ribosomal RNA
Source: RNAcentral